Molecule: long non-coding RNA, 4051 nt
Filed under: Salmo salar (Atlantic salmon)
Lineage: Eukaryota; Metazoa; Chordata; Actinopteri; Salmoniformes; Salmonidae
Description: lncRNA (ENSSSAG00000097132.1)
Source: RNAcentral
UCAAUGCCCAAAUUCGUGGAGGGUCUAUUCAAAGACAUACUUGAAGACGACACUGACCUGGGAAUUGAGAGAGCACACGGAGCUCUGGCCCCAAAACCCCCCAGCCGCGCCCCACCAAGAUCAAUAGUUAGUUGUACGGUUCCUAAAAUUCUCAGUCAAAGAAAAGUCUUACAUGCAAUCUGGAAAAAGCCUGUUAGCUUCCAAGGCCAACGAGUGUUCUUUGAUCAUGACUACGCGGGAGAGAUACUGAAAAGAAGGAAAGAAUACACCCCCAUUAAGAAAGCACUUAAAGAGAAGGGUAUAUGCUUCCAAACACCAUUGCCGGCAAAAAUGCGGGUAUUUCUGGAAAAUGGCCCGGUUACAUACGAGCAUGCAGACGAGGCGGCUGAGGAUCUGAAGUCGAGGGGCAUCCCAGUGGAGUAUACCGCCAGGAGAAAGGCCACAUCACCGGCGGAAAGACUCGAGCAGGCUCUCCCAUGGAUCGUUAUCGACAAGCAGAGUCAUGGAAAAAGAGGGAAACCACCUCGGCGAGAGGACGUUCACAUCCGAGAGAGACUCAGGCAUUUCCAUCGCGAAGAUGGAAGACACUGAAGAGGAUUUAACAGAAUGAAUAGUUACCGUGAGCUGUUAAGACGUUGGGUUGUAACGGUUGACAUUGCAAUAGGUAAAAUAUCUCUCCAAUUUUCCCCCAAUGCAGAACAAGGGUCAUGUUUGUGAUUACGUCACGCAUUUUCAUAACUGAGAGAGGGGUCCCUCCUGCGGACAGGCUCAUCCCCUCAAACUCCAGAGGCAAGAGACAGUCCUCUGACAUUGGAGUCCAAAUAUCUAAGUAUUUUCCCACUUUGGUUUACUUUAUUAUCGUUCUUGAUUUUUCGUUCAUUUUUAGGCUCAAGAUAAGCAGGCAGAUAUGGUGCACAGUUUUUAUUUAUUUAUAUCGAUGCAUCAUCGGGAAUUUAAGGUCAUAAGUCUCAAUGUAAACGGACUGGGGAGUGCCAUCAAGAGAAGUAAGGUAAUAGCAAAAAUGAAACGCGAGAGAGUUGACAUACUAUUCUGGCAGGAAACUCACUUAUCCACACCUGAACAAGAGAAACUCAAGAAAAUGGGAUAUAGGAAUACUUUUUUUUCUUCUUAGAAAAUUGGUGGAAGGGGAGUUGCAAUCUUGAUCCCAAAUUCAAUUAAUUUUGAGUUUGUCAGAAAUAAAAGACAAGGAGGGUAGAUUUAUACUUGUUAAAUGUAAACUGGAUAACAAGGAAGUUACAUUAUUUAAUGUAUACGCACCCCCAGGGAGUGACAUGGUCUUCUACGGGAUGGUGUUUGAUUUAAUUGCCACAAAAGCUCUGGCACUCUUAUCUGUGGAGGAGAUUUUAACACAAUUUUAAACUCAAAAUUGGACAGCACAAAUCAAAAUAGGAAAAUGAGUCUAGUUGCUAAAAAGAUCAAUAGGAUAUUGCAGGAUCUAGGAGUGCUCGAUGUAUGGCGUGACACCCACAAGACCGAUAAGGAAUAUAUUUUUUACUCAGCCCGCCACACUGAAUACUCCAGGUUAGACUAUUUUUUCAUGUACAGUGCAGAUAGACACAGGCUUAAGGAUUGUAGGAUCGGGCAGAGCGACUUAUCAGAUCAUAAUGGAUUUUACCUUACUCUACACCUUGAUAGCAAACCAAGAAAUACUCUAUGGAGACGUAAUACAAGCAUGCUGAAUGAUCCAGCAUUCAAGGAAUCAAUAAAGACAGAAUUGAACAUCUAUCUGGAGAAUAACGAUAACAGGGAAGUAUCUCCUGCUACAUUGUGGGAUGCAGCUAAGGUGGUUAUAAGAGGAAAGAUCAUAGCCACAUCAUCUCUCAAGAAAAAGAUUAAAGCACAGAAACUGCUGAAAUUACAGGAAACAUUAAGAAACUUAGAACGAUCUCAUAGUCAAUACAAAGAUCCUCUUAUAUUACGAGAGAUUCAAAAGGUAAAACAUGAAAUUGACCAGAUUUAUAGAGAAGAAGUUUAGAAAAAGCUCAGGUUCCUGAAACAACGAUAUUAUGAAGCAGGCUCAAAGGCAACCAAAUUACUAGCAUGGAGACUCAGGAAACAACAAACACAGAAUACCAUUUUCAAAAUAAAAGACCCCAUAACAAAGAAGAUCACAUGCAAAUUAGAUGAAAUACAGAAUGCAUUUGAAUCAUAUUACACAAAUCUGUACAAGCAACCAGAGAAGGCAGAUGCACAGACAAUAGAGCAUUUUUUGAACUCACUUGAUCUCCCCUCAAUUGGGACAGAGCAAAAUGAUAGACUAACUUUAGAAAUAUCCACCGAAGAAAUUAAUAAAGCAAUAUCUCAACUAAAAGUAAACAAGUCUCCAGGCACUGAUGGCUUCCCUGCAGAAUGAUUCAAGACCUUCAGAGAACAACUAACACCUCUACUUAAGGCCUGCUUUAAUUGAACUCUACGGGAGGGGGUCUCCCACCGUCAUGGAGAGGCCAUCAUAUCUGUAAUCCCAAAAGUGGGUAAAGAUCAGAAGGAAUGCAGUUCAUAUAGACCUAUCGCAAUUCUUAACACAUCUUAAAUUAUAUGCAUCAAUAAUAGCCAAAAGAAUGGAGAACAUAAUCCCAGAAUUGAUUGACGGAGAUCAAACUGGUUUCAUCCAAAAUAGGCAGACACAGGACAACAUAAGGAGAACACUACAUGUCAUGGACCACAUUACUCAGAAUAAGACAAGUGCAAUAUUAAUCAGUCUAGAUGCAGAAAAGGCAUUUGAUUCAGUGGGAUGGGAUUAUCUAUUCCAAGUUAUGGAAAGAUUUGGUUUCAAUAAAGAAGUGAUACAGGGCAUCAAAUCACUGUAUUCAUGUCUGACUGCUAGAAUAAAGAUAAAUGGACAUUUGUCACGAACGAUAAAAUUAGAGCGAGGGGCCAGACAAGGCUGUAAUCUUUCACUCACGCUCUUCUCCUUGUACCUCGAACCAUUAGCACAGGCAAUAAGACAGGACCCAACCUUAGAGGGAAUAACAAUAAGAGGCAGUGAACAUAAGAUAUGCAUGUAUGCUGAUGACGUUCUGUUAUUCCUUAAAGACCCAGGCUCAAGUGUACCUAGAUUGAAGGAAUGUUUUACAAACAUUUGGAACAUAUUCAUGGUAUGUGCUUAAUGUACACAAGACCCAAGCCCUAGUAUAUAAUUAUACCCCACAGGAAGAGCUGAAGAGUAGGUAUAACUUCCACUGGACUUCUUCAUCCAUUAAAUGUCUUGGAGUAUAUCUACCAAAAGAUACACCCAAACUGUAUUACAUGAAUUACGAUCACAUCAAAAGAAAAUAAAUGAUGACCUGUACAGUUGGAAUUCACUUCUCUUGGAUCUUAGUAGUAGAAUUGAAACAAUCAAAAUGAACAUCCUGCCGAGGUAAUUGUAUUUGUUCAAAUCACUGCCCAUAGAAAUCCCGCUUAAACAGUUUAGGGAAUGGGAUCAACAGAUAUCAAGGUUUAUCUGGAACAGUAAGAGACCAAGAAUUAGAUAUACAACAUUACAAUUACAAAAAAACAGUGGGGUAUGGCCUUACCAAACCUAAAAGAUUAUUUUGGGUCAGCCCAAUUGAGACCUCUGUUGGUGCAAUUCAGAAUACGAAUCCAAAUGGAAAGACAUUGAGACUAUUUUGACAGAGCUACCCAUACAGUCAGUUUUGGGAAAUAAGGACAUGGUAAUAGAAAUAUACAGUAGACAAGAUCAGUGGAUUAAUUUCUCUCUGAAGUCAUGGUUUAGGGUAGUUAAGCAAAAUAAAUUAGACAGAGAGAUCAAACUGCUGAGUUGGCCCGCAUACGACCACAGCUUCAUCCCUGCAACUCAGGACAGCAGAUUUAAACAAUGGACGAGAAAGGCAUUACAUCAUUCAGUACAAUUAUAAGGAAUGGGGACCUAGAUAACUUCCAGGACCUAAGUAAAAAACAUGGCUUGGAUAAACAAGAUUUUUACAGAUACCUACAAGUUCGACACUAUUUCUUAAGGGAGAUAAAAGUGAUUGACCCUCAAGCGCCUCCAAAAUUAAUCCAAGUAUUCACUAACGCAUACAACUUGGGG